GCGCCCGUAGCUCAGUUGGAUAGAGUGCAGGCCUCCGAAGCCUGAGGUCACAGGUUCGAUUCCUGUCGGGCGCGCCA
RNAcentral lists this transfer RNA (77 nucleotides) under Candidatus Venteria ishoeyi. Its description in RNAcentral is "Thiotrichales bacterium HS_08 tRNA-Arg(ccg)". It matches the Rfam family "tRNA". From Rfam's summary of the family: Transfer RNA (tRNA) molecules are approximately 80 nucleotides in length. Their secondary structure includes four short double-helical elements and three loops (D, anti-codon, and T loops). Further hydrogen bonds mediate the characteristic L-shaped molecular structure. tRNAs have two regions of fundamental functional importance: the anti-codon, which is responsible for specific mRNA codon recognition, and the 3' end, to which the tRNAs corresponding amino acid is attached (by aminoacyl-tRNA synthetases). tRNAs cope with the degeneracy of the genetic code in two manners: having more than one tRNA (with a specific anti-codon) for a particular amino acid; and 'wobble' base-pairing, i.e. permitting non-standard base-pairing at the 3rd anti-codon position. The record is from RNAcentral. Lineage: Bacteria; Pseudomonadati; Pseudomonadota; Gammaproteobacteria; Thiotrichales; Thiotrichaceae.